RNAcentral lists this ribosomal RNA (497 nucleotides) under uncultured bacterium. RNAcentral's name for it is "partial 16S ribosomal RNA". It matches the Rfam family "Bacterial small subunit ribosomal RNA", at positions 28 to 507 of the family's 1533-position model. The record is from RNAcentral.
GAUGGACGCUGGCGGCGUGCCUAAUACAUGCAAGUCGAGCGAACGGACGAGAAGCUUGCUUCUCUGAUGUUAGCGGCGGACGGGUGAGUAACACGUGGAUAACCUACCUAUAAGACUGGGAUAACUUCGGGAAACCGGAGCUAAUACCGGAUAAUAUUUUGAACCGCAUGGUUCAAAAGUGAAAGACGGUCUUGCUGUCACUUAUAGAUGGAUCCGCGCUGCAUUAGCUAGUUGGUAAGGUAACGGCUUACCAAGGCAACGAUGCAUAGCCGACCUGAGAGGGUGAUCGGCCACACUGGAACUGAGACACGGUCCAGACUCCUACGGGAGGCAGCAGUAGGGAAUCUUCCGCAAUGGGCGAAAGCCCGACGGAGCAACGCCGCGUGAGUGAUGAAGGUCUUCGGAUCGUAAAACUCUGUUAUUAGGGAAGAACAUAUGUGUAAGUAACUGUGCACAUCUUGACGGUACCUAAUCAGAAAGCCACGGCUAACUACGUG